Molecule: non-coding RNA, 614 nt
Organism: Misgurnus anguillicaudatus (oriental weatherfish)
Lineage: Eukaryota; Metazoa; Chordata; Actinopteri; Cypriniformes; Cobitidae
Source: RefSeq, a predicted model, not a curated record
UAAAUAAACGUAUAAAAUACCAUGUUAAAAAAAUAUUUUCUUCCUUGGCAUGUUCACAUAAGUGUUGGCUGUUUUAUAUUAAUAGGACUAUGUGUUAUUUUUUUCGUUAAAUAUUGAAACAACUAGGGGACUUUUGUCCCGAAUAUGCAGUUUGUCAGAGGUCAUUCAGUGUAACGGGAUCAGGAAACCAUUUUGAAAUUAAAUAAACAAACAAUAGUCAUCAAGCAGUCUGUGACAUCAUCAAAAGGCCCCCUGAAGACCAUGUGGUGAUUCAGCAAGAUGCCCACAAACAAAGAGAAAGUUUCUAGGCACUGGCAGAAAGUUAAUGCAGACCCAGUAGCUAGGGCAAUGCAUUUAGCAAGGAGACGAGAAAGCAACCAGAGAAGAAAGCAAGCUGCCUUGGCUGCAAAUCCUGAUCACCUGUCAAUCAGGAAUUUAUCAGAUGCUGCAGCUGAGAAGAGGCGAAAGCAAUGGCGGGAAAAUCAAAGAAAACACAGGGCAGAAGCUAAACGUAUAAGGGCAGUUCUGGAUCUUAUUAUACAGUAUUACCACCUGUUCAGUUAAUUUUUACGAAUAUGAUAUGCAUUAUGGAAUAAAAAUGAUUAUUAAUUUCA